UACGUAGGGUGCAAGCGUUAAUCGGAAUUACUGGGCGUAAAGCGUGCGCAGGCGGUUGUGUAAGACAGAUGUGAAAUCCCCGGGCUCAACCUGGGAACUGCAUUUGUGACUGCACAGCUGGAGUGCGGCAGAGGGGAUGGAAUUCCGCGUGUAGCAGUGAAAUGCGUAGAUAUGCGGAGGAACACCGAUGGCGAAGGCAAUCCCCUGGGCCUGCACUGACGCUCAUGCACGAAAGCGUGGGGAGCAAACAGG
This 252-nucleotide ribosomal RNA is filed under the name uncultured bacterium. RNAcentral's name for it is "partial 16S ribosomal RNA". It matches the Rfam family "Bacterial small subunit ribosomal RNA", at positions 524 to 776 of the family's 1533-position model. The record is from RNAcentral.